UACAGAGGGGGCAAGCGUUGUUCGGAAUUACUGGGCGUAAAGGGCGCGUAGGCGGCCUUCUAAGUCGAACGUGAAAUCCCCGGGCUCAACCCGGGAACUGCGUCCGAUACUGGAAGGCUUGAAUCCGGGAGAGGGAUGCGGAAUUCCUGGUGUAGCGGUGAAAUGCGUAGAUAUCAGGAGGAACACCUGCGGUGUAGACGGCUUUCUGGACCAUUACUGACACUGAGACACGAAAGCGUGGGUAGCAAACAGG
Molecule: ribosomal RNA, 253 nt
Filed under: uncultured bacterium
Lineage: Bacteria
Description: partial 16S ribosomal RNA
Rfam family: Bacterial small subunit ribosomal RNA
Source: RNAcentral